Populus trichocarpa (black cottonwood) is the source of this 703-nucleotide long non-coding RNA. RefSeq lists it as uncharacterized. NCBI's taxonomy places the organism in Eukaryota, Viridiplantae, Streptophyta, Magnoliopsida, Malpighiales, Salicaceae. The record is from RefSeq and is a predicted model, not a curated record. The transcript is spliced from 2 exons.
CGGCAAGUGUGGCUUCCUUCGUGAUCCAAUGGUGGUCUUCUUCGACAUCGCCAAAAUCAUCUCAUCGAGUUCUCUGUAAACGAUGCAUUCAGGGGUAUUCAAGGAUAAACCCAAGGAUAGAGAAUUUGCCUUGCCAGUGAUCCAUGUUUAUGGAUUCACCAGAGCUCGUGAUCCAGAAUCUGAUUUCCACGAGGCCUGUUGCUAAAAUCUACCAAGGGAUUUCGCCUUUUCUUUACCUUUGAUGAUUGGACGCUGGACUCGGCGUGGGCAUGCCUGUUGUCUGAUUAAUAUUUUCCUUCAAUUACUGAUUUUUACACAUUUCCUGAACACUGUAAAUGCAGCGGAUAAGGAUUGCAUUGCAAGAGGCGGAAGUUGAUGUAGAAAUGCGUCUGGAUCUGGAAAAUGGAUGUUGUGUGCAUCAUUUAGACUUUCCUAUGAGUGCAGCAUAUGCAAGUGGAUCAAAUUUAAAUUUGUGUAUCCAUUUUUAUUUUCAAAUAUAUGACAUAUAGUUCUUUCAAAUUCAUAUCUAUAAUGCAAUAGGUCACCUUUCAAGAAUUCAAUUCUUUCAUUUAACUUGACCUUUCAAGCCAAUGAAAUAGCCUGGUGAAAGGGCAAGGAUAGCUUAGAUUUCUGCUAUUCUUGCCCUGUUUGGUUUUCAGGCUCAAUAUAUGUAAUAGAGCCCUAUAAAUAAUGGGCCAGGGUU